CAGUCGCCACGGUAAUACGUAGGGUGCAGGCGUUAAUCGGAAUUACUGGGCGUAAAGCGUGCGUAGGCGGUUCGUUAAGUCUGUUGUGAAAGCCCCGGGCUCAACCUGGGAAUGGCAAUGGAUACUGGCGAGCUAGAGUGUGUCAGAGGAUGGUGGGAUUCCCGGUGUAGCGGUGAAAUGCGUAGAGAUCGGGAGGAACAUCAGUGGCGAAGGCGGCCAUCUGGGACAACACUGACGCUGAGGCACGAAAGCGUGGGGAGCAAACAGGAUUAGAUACCCGCGUAGUCCCUGUCUCUUAUAC
Molecule: ribosomal RNA, 301 nt
Filed under: uncultured bacterium
Lineage: Bacteria
Description: partial 16S ribosomal RNA
Rfam family: Bacterial small subunit ribosomal RNA
Source: RNAcentral